Non-coding RNA from Osmia lignaria (orchard mason bee), 369 nucleotides. Lineage: Eukaryota; Metazoa; Arthropoda; Insecta; Hymenoptera; Megachilidae. The record is from RefSeq and is a predicted model, not a curated record.
AGCAAUGAGUAGAGAAAUGGAUGAUUAGCGUCGUCCCGCCGCACAGUGGGGCGACCAUAUACCAAUGUUGGACAUUGGUAUAAUGAAGUAUGAAGAUCGAGCCCUAGGGAACCCUAGCGGGCACAUGGUACGAGCGUCAGCUUGAACCUCGGUAGUGGACCGACAUCAGUCUGUGACUCAGGUACGCCUGUAUAAGCCGUAUAGUGCCAUGAUCAAGGCCCAUCCGAUGCAACUUAUAAAGCAGCGCAUCGUGCCAAACCGUAUCAAACGCCUUGGCCAAAUCAAAGCCUGGCAUUAAUCCUUGGAUGACGGACCAUGGAGGGAGCCCCAUUUUAAAUUUAAUUUUGUUCUCUAAAUUUUACACUGUAC